This 36-nucleotide non-coding RNA is filed under the name unclassified sequences. Its description in RNAcentral is "DUF805b RNA". It matches the Rfam family "DUF805b RNA". From Rfam's summary of the family: Bacteroidetes, Chlorobi (1 example), Proteobacteria. Lineage (Flavobacteria) The record is from RNAcentral.
AAGGUGUAUCCCCAAAAACCUGUAAUAGAGUAGGGA